This 67-nucleotide transfer RNA is filed under the name Peronia peronii. RNAcentral's name for it is "tRNA-Met". Lineage: Eukaryota; Metazoa; Mollusca; Gastropoda; Systellommatophora; Onchidiidae. The record is from RNAcentral.
UUAAGGAUAAGCUAAUUUAAGCUAUUGGGCUCAUAACCCAAAAAUGGUCGGUUCCCGCCUCCUUAAA